GACGAACGCUGGCGGCGUGCUUAACACAUGCAAGUCGAACGGUGGACCCCUUCGGGGGGGAUCAGUGGCGAACGGGUGAGUAACACGUGAGCAACCUGCCCCUGACUCUGGGAUAACCCCGGGAAACCGGAGCUAAUACCGGAUAUGACACGCUCGGGCAUCCGAUGCGUGUGGAAAGAUUUAUCGGUUGGGGAUGGGCUCGCGGCCUAUCAGCUUGUUGGUGGGGUAAAGGCCUACCAAGGCGAGGAUCCGUAGCUGGUCUGAGAGGAUGACCAGCCAGACGUGGGACUGGGACACGGCCCAGACUCCUACGGGAGGCAGCAGUUAGGAAUUUUGGGCGAAUGGCCGCAAGGCUGACCCAGCAACGCCG
This 370-nucleotide ribosomal RNA is filed under the name uncultured bacterium. RNAcentral describes it as "bacterial SSU rRNA". It matches the Rfam family "Bacterial small subunit ribosomal RNA", at positions 28 to 399 of the family's 1533-position model. The record is from RNAcentral.